This 497-nucleotide ribosomal RNA is filed under the name uncultured bacterium. RNAcentral's name for it is "partial 16S ribosomal RNA". It matches the Rfam family "Bacterial small subunit ribosomal RNA", at positions 28 to 507 of the family's 1533-position model. The record is from RNAcentral.
GAUGAACGCUGGCGGCGUGCCUAAUACAUGCAAGUCGAGCGAACGGACGAGAAGCUUGCUUCUUUGAUGUUAGCGGCGGACGGGUGAGUAACACGUGGAUACCCUACCUAUAAGACUGGGAUAACUUCGGGAAACCGUAGCUAAUACCGUAUAAUAUUUUGAACCGCAUGGUUCAAUAGUGAAAGACGGUCUUUCUGUCACUUAUAGAUGGAUCUGCGCUGCAUUAGCUAGUUGGUAGGUUAACGGCUUACCAAGGCAACGAUGCAUAGCCGAACUGAGAGGGGGAUCGGCGACCCGGGAACUGAGACAGGGUCCAGAGUCCUACGGGAGGCAGCAGUAGGGAAUGGGCCGCAAUGGGCGAAAGCAUGACAGAACAACGCCGCGUGAGUGAUGGAGGUCUUCGGAUCGGAAAGAUCGGUUAUUAGGGAAAAACAUAUGUGUAAGGAACUGUGCACAUCUUGACGGUACCUGAUCAGAAAGCAACGGCUAACUACGUG